RNAcentral lists this ribosomal RNA (253 nucleotides) under uncultured bacterium. RNAcentral's name for it is "partial 16S ribosomal RNA". It matches the Rfam family "Bacterial small subunit ribosomal RNA", at positions 524 to 776 of the family's 1533-position model. The record is from RNAcentral.
UACGAAGGGGGCUAGCGUUGCUCGGAAUUACUGGGCGUAAAGGGAGCGUAGGCGGAUAGUUUAGUCAGAGGUGAAAGCCCAGGGCUCAACCUUGGAAUUGCCUUUGAUACUGGCUAUCUUGAGUACGGAAGAUGUAUGUGGAACUCCGAGUGUAGAGGUGAAAUUCGUAGAUAUUCGGAAGAACACCAGUGGCGAAGGCGACAUACUGGUCCGUUACUGACGCUGAGGCUCGAAAGCGUGGGGAGCAAACAGG